GGCAGCCUUGCGAGGAAGGGAUGCUUACAGCUCCCAUUUUUCCCCUUUCUAGGGGAAACUGAGGCUGAAAGAGUUUCAGCAACACUCCCAAGUCACACACCUGGAGCUGGUUGAGGGGACAUCGGUUGCCCUGCCUUUGCUGCUGGACCACCCCACAACCUCCAAGGCUCACCUCCAGGGAAGUGGCUUCGAGUGCGCAGGCCCGGAAGCUCACUAGACCGCACACUCCAGGAGGGCGGGGCUGUGUCUCCCGUUCACCGCUCAAUCCUCAGCGCCAGGCACACACCCAGGGACAUAGUAGAUGCUCAGUAAAGAGCCAAAGCCUCAGGGAAAUCGGCUCCUUCCAGACUUGGCCACCAAUCCAUUGGUGCAGUGAACAAUGGCUAAUAAUUAAUGGGGAACAUUUUUUUAAAGUGAGGAAUCUGGGGCUCAGAGAUGCGUGUGCGGCAGGCUCUUCGGAUUGGUCUGGAUUCUAGCUAAAUGUGCGACGUCAGUCAUACAUGUCAGUAACUUCGGGUCAUCCGAUCUUUGAUGUCAGGAUUGCGAUCCUGACUUUACAGAUGAAGACACUGAGCUCAGAGCCGCUAAGAGGCAGGGCGAGGCUUCUGUUCCUGUUUCCAGGGCAAAUGUGCUACUCACGCAAGGUGCAUCGGAACAGGAGGGGUCUGGUAGGGAAGCACAGUAGUAACAACAACAACAGUGUGUGUGGAGAUGGAAGUAGGGGUUCUGACCCCCAUCUCACUCAAGGAGCUAUGCCCCAGAGCUAACACAAGAUGGGAGAUAGAUCCUGCUGUUCCCCUGGUGGCUUUCAGGUUCUCUGCACCUCUUUUCCGACUACUGUCGUGGGAGCCAUGCGGCCAAGGCGUGGAGGUGGGGACGGCAAGAUCUGCAAGGAGCGUAAUUAGAGGGCUCCACGACUGUGAAGGGCCCCUCAGACUCCAAGAGCUCGUGAGUCGGCUGUGAUCUUUGGAAUCCUCAUUAGAAAUUCUCUCCAGAGCCCGGGGCAUAUGCUUUUACUCGUCUUUAAUAAUGGCAAAUCUUCAUGCUU
This is a long non-coding RNA of Suricata suricatta (meerkat), 1048 nucleotides long. RefSeq lists it as uncharacterized. Lineage: Eukaryota; Metazoa; Chordata; Mammalia; Carnivora; Herpestidae. The transcript is spliced from 8 exons. The record is from RefSeq and is a predicted model, not a curated record.